Molecule: long non-coding RNA, 3310 nt
Filed under: Homo sapiens (human)
Lineage: Eukaryota; Metazoa; Chordata; Mammalia; Primates; Hominidae
Description: HSALNT0303221
Source: RNAcentral
GGAGCUGGGGUCCCAAGGGCAGUCCAGACAACCUGAACCUGUGACACUCACCCUGCCCACACACUCUCAGAGCUGCAGCUUUCACGGGGACCCAAUUCUUGCUAAUUCUUUGUAGGUGACAUGAAUGCUUGUAAAUGAGCUUGCUGAAUGGGAGACCAAGAACGAUGAUAUUGAGCUGUUACUACAUGCCAGACAUUUAACCCUUUCAUCCAGGUUAUCUCAAUCAUUCCUUACAGAAAGGCUUUUGAGAUGUCCUUGCAACUGGAGGUGCCAUAUGAUACAGUUCUGCCCAAAGACAAGAAAGUGAAUGUCUGUUGAGGGCUUCCUAUAAGGCCAAUACAUACAGGUGUUCCCAACAACAGGUAAGUCAAUUCAGCUGGUUGGAUUUUUCACUUUUCAUCUGAAUGUUUACAUGUAUCUGAAUGUUUCCAUAGACAUAGACUGAGCGUGUGACUUGAGUCAAAGUUAAUUUGAGUAAGAAACCAAGGGAGAAUUUUAUUUCUUUUUAUUGAUGCCUCAGUCUCUUUCCAUUUUUUCAUAGAGACCCAGGAGUCCAUGUUAAAAGUGUCCUAAAGAGGAGGUAAAGGCUAAGGAAUUUGAGAACCCUAAGAUUUUCUUUGAAAUUCUGUGGAGAUGAUGCUAAGAGGAUCACUUAUAAAUGCUUAUUGGAUGUAAUUUCCAUGUUGGACAGGUGAUAUUUCCAGGGAGAAGCUUAAGGGAUUGUAGGUAAUAUAAAGUCUCAAGGUAGAAAACACUGACUCUGAGACUGUGUAUUUAUAAUGUGUGUGUGCAUGUGUAUGUGUAAUUCAUUUGCUGAUCUUUGUUUAACUUUUUAUUAAACUAUAAUGUAUGUGCAGAAAAAAAUGCACAUAUUAUAACAUAGAGCUUAAAGAAUUUUCACAAAUGACCAUAUCUUUGAACCCAAUACCCAGGUCACAAAACAGAACAUUACCAGAACCCUAAAAACCCUUGUUCUCCCUUCUAAUAACUACCUUUUUGGCCAACAAUAACUACCAGGCUUCCAUUCUUACCUUUUUACAAAACAAACCAAUGAGUGGAAGCGCAAGGUCACCCCUUCUCCUGUUUUCACUUGCUCGCGAUUGACAUGGGGAAGUAAAACCUGUACUAUGGCACAUUUAAUUAUGGGAAAAUGAAAAGAAAGAAAUAAAAACCAGACCAACAAAGCAAAGAUUUAAGUUGGCAUCGCUUUCCAUAUCAUUGUGAUGCCGGCAGACACUCAAUAAACAUAUCAGCAUUGUUAAAAUGAUUUAUCAGCCAAAUAGUUGAAUGUAAAAUAUUAUCAAUACAGGUGUCAUCAUUGAUCUUUCUUGGGUCUCACUGCUGAAGAAUGGGGCUGUAAGAUGAUUUCAACAAACAAUCCUUGACAGGAAACCAAAGGCAACAAGGCACAGGGACAGACAGCUGACAAAUGCAGUAUGGGGCCAUUAAAGCAUGUGAUGAAUUUGCCAGGAAAGUAUAUAUUUGUGCAAGAGGUGAGCUCAUAUCUCCCAUAAAUUUGUCAGCCGUGACACAGUGUUCUCCGGCUUGGCAUGAGUAAUGCCUUGCUAUUUGCGCCUUUGUCUGGCAAAAGCUCUAUCAGUCACUCCAGGGUUAUUUACAAAGAAACGUGUCUAUCAGUUACAAGGACAUGACUUUGCUGCUAAAAGAUAACAAAAGAAGAAAUCAGGCAGUGGCCUCUCAGCGAGGGAUGCGUCUUUUCCAGACAAGCUCUGGACUGGAAUGAAUCAGAUGGACGGCAAUUGGCCGGGCUGGCCCAGUGCCUGGCAUGACCAGCCUUAGUGCAUUUAUCCACACUGAUUAGAUUAGAAAUUAUUAAUAGGGGGCUACGGAGUAGAGCAAAAGGUCAUUUAGAGUUUAAUUCUGUUCUCAGAUAACUUCAUUUCGGCUGAUGGGAUUGUUAUUGUAGGGGUUUUAUAUGUUUAUAGGAAACAAUAUACUCAAUAAUGAAGUCCUGCCUCCUUCUGCAAGGUCAGGAAAGCUAUUGUGUAGCUAGAUUGAAGUCUUCACAAUUGUGUUAAUUAAGUAACAGUGAUUGGACUUGGUCUUCUCUUGAAAUGCAUUUAAGAGCCUAAAAGCUGCUGAGAAUGUAUUCUUUCAAUAUAAAUAUAUAGUAAAGCAAGUGAGACCAGAAAGCAGCUGACGAUUGAGUAAACAGAAGAGCUGACAUGAAGCUUUUACUUAAGACAGGAGCCUGGUUGGCAGAUGUAACUUCUUGCCACAUAAAUACAAAUGUCUUGUCAGUUUAUGAUUAAACAUAACAGGUCCCUUUUUCUUACUCAAUUCCUGAUGAAUCUGAAAGAUAAAGCUGUAGAAAGUAUAGUUGAUGGUCUCAUCAGUUACUUUGUUGCCUUGCAGGCCUGCCCAUUUGAGGCAGAUGAUCAGAGUACGGUAAGAGGCAUGUCCUUCUCAGAUUAAAGGGCCAUAGCCUUGGUCUUGGCUCAUAGUCCAGGGUCAUUCUGGAGAGGGAACCCAGCUUUGUCCCCUCCUUUGGAGGGCUUAUAACUCAGAUAUUAACAUUUGCUGAAGAUGGUUGUAAUUUUUUUUGUUCUGAGGUACAAGAUCUCUUCUAAAUAGCUAAAAAAGAAUUUAGUUGAUUCUAAGUGAAAAGUGAGUUCAUGGAAAGCACUUUGUUGCCAUGUGUUUCUUAAAGACCACAGAAGACUUUUGGGCUCCAGUUAAGCAAGUCCCCUUCGAUUUGGCUCCAGAUGCAGUGAUACCCCACGAAGGGGAAGUUUAAAGUGAAACUUGGCAACUGGUGAUUGAGUCUUAUCUUCCCAACUCUCCUCCAACGCCCCCACCCACACAUAUAAGAGAACCACCAUCCAAAGACAGAACUUAGGAGAGUUGUUGAAUUGAAAUGAUAGUUUCAUUGAUGUAAGUUUUGUAAAAUACCUUUAAGGCAGAGAUUCUCAAAUGGAAGUGAUUUUGUCCCCCAAGGGACAUUUGACAAUGUCUGGAGACAUUGGGGUUGUAACAACUAGGAGUGGAUGAUUGCUACCGGCAUCUAGUGAGUGGAGCCAGAGAUGCUGGUAAACAUUCUGAAAUACCUGCCCCCUACAUAGAACAAACAGUCAUCCAGGCCAAAAUGUCAAUAGUGUGAAGGUUGAGGAACCCUGCUCUCAAGAACCUUUGAAUCAAUGAAGGAUGAGGAGUUGGGAGAGGUUACUCUCUCUAGGGAAUGGGUUACCAUACAGAAUUUCUACUUAGAAAAAAAAUCUAUAAUUAUGACAUUAUAAAUAAUCAUACUAGAAUUUGGAAAAAUUUCUUAUAAAAUGUGCUUGGCCAGGCA